RNAcentral lists this long non-coding RNA (676 nucleotides) under Mus spicilegus (steppe mouse). RNAcentral's name for it is "lncRNA (ENSMSIG00000015369.1)". Lineage: Eukaryota; Metazoa; Chordata; Mammalia; Rodentia; Muridae. The record is from RNAcentral.
CAAACUCUCCCUUAAACUCAUUAGCAGAUUGCUCACAUAUGACUUGGCCCUUGGAGUUGACCUCUGGUCCAAUUACCCAGGGGUUAGUUCUUCCAUAGGCUUCUUUAUGAAUAACUGGCUGAGAAAUGUCCAUGUAGUGUCCAACUCCUACAAGAUGUUCUCAGAAACCUAUAAGGAUGACAGUUCACUCCAACCCCAUUCCUUGGAAGGGAAGUGAGUCUCUUCAUGACCAACUGUGGGCGUGAUGAUGUGUGAAGUUCUACGUCUAUGGAUCAGGUAUCGUGCCAUGGAUGCUUUUCAAGGGUGCUACUUAUAUACUGCAAGUGUUUUCCCUCUCUGCCAGGGCAUAAUGCUGUUCAACAGAAGGGCAUCUCUCUUAUGAAGAGACAACAAGCUUAUUACCUCUGUCCCUCAUGCCAUUCAGGAAGAUAUCCUCUGGGACACGUGGGAAAUGAAUGAGAUAUUCCUCGAGUUCCCAUCGGACAGACUGUAGACAGAAAAUGUUUGCUUGACUUUGAUUGAACCAGUGAACUGGAGGAGAAUCUGGGCUCUAAGUAUCAGCCACUAUCACUUUCAUCAUCAUCUUACAACUAGGCAAGAAAUACUGAGACAGUCACUUCCCAUCAAUGCCAGGCCCUUGUUCUAAGAACUUAAAUAAAAACAUUUAAGAUGAUGG